UUUUGAAGUUUUUUUUUUUUCUCUCAGGACGAACGCUGGCGGCGUGCCUAAUACAUGCAAGUCGAGCGGACAGAUGGGAGCUUGCUCCCUGAUGUUAGCGGCGGACGGGUGAGUAACACGUGGGUAACCUGCCUGUAAGACUGGGAUAACUCCGGGAAACCGGGGCUAAUACCGGAUGGUUGUUUGAACCGCAUGGUUCAAACAUAAAAGGUGGCUUCGGCUACCACUUACAGAUGGACCCGCGGCGCAUUAGCUAGUUGGUGAGGUAACGGCUCACCAAGGCAACGAUGCGUAGCCGACCUGAGAGGGUGAUCGGCCACACUGGGACUGAGACACGGCCCAGACUCCUACGGGAGGCAGCAGUAGGGAAUCUUCCGCAAUGGACGAAAGUCUGACGGAGCAACGCCGCGUGAGUGAUGAAGGUUUUCGGAUCGUAAAGCUCUGUUGUUAGGGAAGAACAAGUACCGUUCGAAUAGGGCGGUACCUUGACGGUACCUAACCAGAAAGCCACGGCUAACUACGUGCCAGCAGCCGCGGUAAUACGUAGGUGGCAAGCGUUGUCCGGAAUUAUUGGGCGUAAAGGGCUCGCAGGCGGUUUCUUAAGUCUGAUGUGAAAGCCCCCGGCUCAACCGGGGAGGGUCAUUGGAAACUGGGGAACUUGAGUGCAGAAGAGGAGAGUGGAAUUCCACGUGUAGCGGUGAAAUGCGUAGAGAUGUGGAGGAACACCAGUGGCGAAGGCGACUCUCUGGUCUGUAACUGACGCUGAGGAGCGAAAGCGUGGGGAGCGAACAGGAUUAGAUACCCUGGUAGUCCACGCCGUAAACGAUGAGUGCUAAGUGUUAGGGGGUUUCCGCCCCUUAGUGCUGCAGCUAGGUGCAUUAAUGCACUCCGCCUGGGGAGUACGGUCGCAAGACUGAAACUCAAAGGAAUUGACGGGGGCCCGCACAAGCGGUGGAGGAUGGGGUUUAAUUCGAAGCAACGCGAAGAACCUUACCAGGUCUUGACAUCCUCUGACAAUCCUAGAGAUAGGACGUCCCCUUCGGGGGCAGAGUGACAGGUGGUGCAUGGUUGUCGUCAGCUCGUGUCGUGAGAUGUUGGGUUAAGUCCCGCAACGAGCGCAACCCUUGAUCUUAGUUGCCAGCAUUCAGUUGGGCACUCUAAGGUGACUGCCGGUGACAAACCGGAGGAAGGUGGGGAUGACGUCAAAUCAUCAUGCCCCUUAUGACCUGGGCUACACACGUGCUACAAUGGACAGAACAAAGGGCAGCGAAACCGCGAGGUUAAGCCAAUCCCACAAAUCUGUUCUCAGUUCGGAUCGCAGUCUGCAACUCGACUGCGUGAAGCUGGAAUCGCUAGUAAUCGCGGAUCAGCAUGCCGCGGUGAAUACGUUCCCGGGCCUUGUACACACCGCCCGUCACACCACGAGAGUUUGUAACACCCGAAGUCGGUGAGGUAACCUUUUAGGAGCCAGCCGCCGAAGGUGGGACAGAUGAUUGGGGUGA
RNAcentral lists this ribosomal RNA (1502 nucleotides) under Bacillus subtilis. RNAcentral's name for it is "bacterial SSU rRNA". It matches the Rfam family "Bacterial small subunit ribosomal RNA". Lineage: Bacteria; Bacillati; Bacillota; Bacilli; Caryophanales; Bacillaceae. The record is from RNAcentral.